This 857-nucleotide ribosomal RNA is filed under the name uncultured bacterium. RNAcentral describes it as "bacterial SSU rRNA". It matches the Rfam family "Bacterial small subunit ribosomal RNA", at positions 524 to 1378 of the family's 1533-position model. The record is from RNAcentral.
UACGGAGGGUGCAAGCGUUACUCGGAAUUACUGGGCGUAAAGGAUGCGCAGGCGGUUUUGAAAGUCAGAUGUGAAAUCCUAUGGCUUAACCAUAGAACUGCAUUUGAAACUUCAUGACUAGAGUGAGGGAGAGGUAAAUGGAAUUAGUGGUGUAGGGGUAAAAUCCGUAGAGAUCACUAGGAAUACUCAUUGCGAAGGCGAUUUACUGGAACUUUACUGACGCUGAGGCAUGAAAGCGUGGGGAGCAAACAGGAUUAGAUACCCUGGUAGUCCACGCCCUAAACGAUGUACACUAGUUGUUGCGGUGCAAGUCAUCGCAGUGAUGCAGCUAACGCAUUAAGUGUACCGCCUGGGGAGUACGGUCGCAAGAUUAAAACUCAAAGGAAUAGACGGGGACCCGCACAAGCGGUGGAGCAUGUGGUUUAAUUCGAAGAUACGCGAAGAACCUUACCUGGACUUGACAUCCUAUAAAUGAUUUAGAGAUAGAUUAGUGCUAGUUUACUAGAAUAUAGUGACAGGUGCUGCACGGCUGUCGUCAGCUCGUGUCGUGAGAUGUUGGGUUAAGUCCCGCAACGAGCGCAACCCUCGUCGUUAGUUGCUAACAGUUCGGCUGAGCACUCUAACGAGACUGCCUUCGUAAGGAGGAGGAAGGUGAGGACGACGUCAAGUCAUCAUGGCCCUUAUGUCCAGGGCUACACACGUGCUACAAUGGGGAGGACAAUGAGACGCGAUACCGCGAGGUGGAGCAAAUCUAUAAACCUUCUCUCAGUUCGGAUAGCACUCUGCAACUCGAGUGCUUGAAGCUGGAAUCGCUAGUAAUCGUAGAUCAGCAAUGCUACGGUGAAUACGUUCCCGGG